CCUACGGGGGGCUGCAGUGGGGAAUAUUGCACAAUGGGCGCAAGCCUGAUGCAGCCAUGCCGCGUGUGUGAAGAAGGCCUUCGGGUUGUAAAGCACUUUCAGCGGGGAGGAAGGCGUUAAGGUUAAUAACCUUGUCGAUUGACGUUACCCGCAGAAGAAGCACCGGCCAACUCCGUGCCAGCAGCCGCGGUAAUACGGGGGGUGCAAGCGUUAAUCGGAAUUACUGGGCGUAAAGCGCACGCAGGCGGUCUGUCAAGUCGGAUGUGAAAUCCCCGGGCUCAACCUGGGAACUGCAUUCGAAACUGGCAGGCUAGAGUCUUGUAGAGGGGGGUAGAAUUCCAGGUGUAGCGGUGAAAUGCGUAGAGAUCUGGAGGAAUACCGGUGGCGAAGGCGGCCCCCUGGACAAAGACUGACGCUCAGGUGCGAAAGCGUGGGGAGCAAACAGGAUUAGAUACCCUUGUAGUC
RNAcentral lists this ribosomal RNA (465 nucleotides) under uncultured Klebsiella sp. RNAcentral's name for it is "bacterial SSU rRNA". It matches the Rfam family "Bacterial small subunit ribosomal RNA", at positions 338 to 795 of the family's 1533-position model. The record is from RNAcentral. Lineage: Bacteria; Pseudomonadati; Pseudomonadota; Gammaproteobacteria; Enterobacterales; Enterobacteriaceae.